CACGAAGUUAGCCGGGGCUUCUUCUCCGACUACCGUCAUUAUCUUCAUCGGUGAAAGAACUUUACAACCCUAAGGCCUUCAUCAUUCACGCGGCAUGGCUGGAUCAGGCUUGCGCCCAUUGUCCAAUAUUCCCCACUGCUGCCUCCCGUAGGAGUUUGGGCCGUGUCUCAGUCCCAAUGUGGCUGAUCAUCCUCUCAGACCAGCUAUGGAUCGUCGCCUUGGUAGGCCUUUACCCCACCAACUAGCUAAUCCAACGCGGGCUCAUCCAUCCCCGAUAAAUCUUUCCCCCGAAGGGCGUAUACGGUAUUAGCUCCAGUUUCCCGGAGUUGUUCCGUAGGGAUGGGUAGAUUCCCACGUGUUACUCACCCGUCUGCCGCUCCCCUUGCGGGCGCUCGACUUGCAUGUGUUAAGCCUGCCGCCAGCGUUCGUUCUGAGCCAGGAUCAAACUCU
RNAcentral lists this ribosomal RNA (450 nucleotides) under uncultured Rhizobium sp. RNAcentral describes it as "partial 16S ribosomal RNA". Lineage: Bacteria; Pseudomonadati; Pseudomonadota; Alphaproteobacteria; Hyphomicrobiales; Rhizobiaceae. The record is from RNAcentral.